Molecule: long non-coding RNA, 303 nt
Filed under: Mustela putorius furo (domestic ferret)
Lineage: Eukaryota; Metazoa; Chordata; Mammalia; Carnivora; Mustelidae
Description: lncRNA (ENSMPUG00000027058.1)
Source: RNAcentral
UGCUGAGCAGAGAGCCCAAUGCAGGGCUUGAUCCCAGGACUCUGCGAUGAUGACCCAAGCUGAAGGUGGAGACGCUAACCCGCUGAGCCACCCAGGCUCUCUCCUAAUUCUUUUUUGCCACUUCCAGUUGGUGAUGAGAGAAGAAUUAGGCACAAACAAGUCAGCUGCAAAAGACUGGGAGCAGGGGACAACAGUCGAAAAGGACUGCUGCCACGAGCAACUCCACAGUCUCACUUUUAUUGGAUAGAAAACAAUAGCCAACAGAAGGACUGAUGAAGGUCAAACGUUAAUCCCGUCUUGCAG